GAAUGGUGCUGAGAAAUCGGAAGUCAUAAUGUGUUAACCCUUUAAAACGGCUAGACGUGUUGCUGCUCUACGUUAAGUCAAGCGAUGAAUUUGAAUCAUCACUCAGUCUGACUGUCCGAGUCUUCCGAGGCGUCUGCUGUUGCACGGCCCUCGAAUUCCCAUAACGGUUUUACGGAACGGCGCUUAUUAAGGUCAUUCCCAUCAUUUGUGAAAUUGGAAGUGCUUCUGCCAGCCGAAUACGCCGUAGCACUAGCAAACAAGAACAAGAUUGCACGGUGGCAAUUACAAGUUGCGUGCAGUGCAGUUUGAUUUAAUGAAAUGGAAAAAAUUUCUAUUCCCAACUUUUAACAUAGCCGUACGUAAUCUCGUUGCGCCCAUAAAAUGCAAGAAGUAAGUGUAACUGAUUUAUUUUAUUUAAAAAAAAAAUUUUUUUGGCUUUGUACUCUUAAUAAAAGGCUCGUGGAUUUGAUUGCGAGUUGUGACACUAUUCGAAUCGGUGAACAAUUCAAUUCAAUUCUCUGUUUUAGUAUUUGUUUCUAUCAUAAACAUACCGUAAGUAUACAAUCAAGCAUAUUAUAUCUUUCGUGUUCGUGUACCUGCACUGCAAAAAAGGCGUGAUCAAAGCAUCCCCCUAUGGUACCGUAAAUCUUUUAUUAUCAUUAUUAGGCUCUUUAAAAAAAAAUUUCUGUAAGAAAAAAAACUGGUGCUGGUGUCAAAUUCUUUUAAUCAAAUUUUUAACACAAGUUCCUUUUUCACUUGUAGACUGACGUGUGCUUCACCUUUAAUUGUAGAGCAAAUUUAUACGUACAUAAUUUCGUAAAAGGCUUCAAACUAACACAAACUCGAAAUUUCUAGACUAUAAAGUUUCAAACAAUUCGCACUUUUAUGCUAUGACCUCGUGGCAUGUUGUCGCGUAACGCUUUAAUCUAUGCAACUUCCAACAUAGUAUGCGCGUCUAUACUGAACUUGGUGCUCGUAAAUAUCCUUAUGUGCGCAUAAUGCAAGGCCAGCGUAAUAGGCUUGCUGUUUGCUCGGGCUAGGCAGCAAGGAGAAAUCUAACCUUGCCGCCAGUUACGCGAGGGAAAAAUUGUGAACUAUUUAACUAGCGCUUUUUUUUUUAAACUGACCUACAAAAAGGACAUUUCACAGGAGAAACGAGAAAAACCGCAAAAAGGGUGAGUUGGUCUGUUUAAUUUAUGGUCAUUGGAACAAGUAGACAGUAGACAGAAGAAAUCGAAAACUUCAAAGAGUAAAACGGCACGCAAUUGCCGCCCACUUUCUACAAUACUUUCGCAGUUGUUAGAUAGAGAAUUGGAUUUUUUUUCUUUGUCUUUUCAUUCACUAGCAGCAAAGCCGGUAUCCAACAUUAUAUCAUAGACUUCCAUCAAAAUUAAAUUGAAUCAAACAUAUUAUUUCCGAAAUUUGUGAGUAUGUAUUCCUUCUAAUUUGGCAAAUAAUUUAUAUUAACUGAAUGAUAUAAGAUAAUUCCACGCCUAUAUAUUUUCCUUUUUUCGAUUUAAGCAGUUGCGUCAGUAGCAGUCUCUGGCUCAGCAGCCGGAGCAGCGGCCUCUACGACGGCGGGCUCUGCGGCAACUUCGGCGACGGGCUCUGCGGCCACUUCGGCAACAGCCUCAACG
Daphnia pulicaria is the source of this 1637-nucleotide long non-coding RNA. RefSeq lists it as uncharacterized. NCBI's taxonomy places the organism in Eukaryota, Metazoa, Arthropoda, Branchiopoda, Diplostraca, Daphniidae. The record is from RefSeq and is a predicted model, not a curated record. The transcript is spliced from 4 exons.